UAGUUAGUAGGUGUGGUAAUGGCGCACCUAGGCAUCGAUCUAUAGCCGAGUUGAGAGGCUAAUCGGCCACAUUGGAACUGAGACACGGUCCAGACUCCUACGGGAGGCAGCAGCUAAGAAUCUUCCGCAAUGGUUGAGAGACUGACGGAGCGACGCCGCGUGAAUGAUGAAGGCCUUUUAGGUUGUAAAAUUCUUUUAUAAUAGAUGAAAGUAUAGAUAUAGUUUAUGCUGACCGUAUAUUAUGAAUAAGGUCCGGCUAACUACGUGCCAGCAGCCGCGGUAAAACGUAGGGACCUAGCGUUGUUCGGAAUUACUGGGCGUAAAGGGUAUGCAGGCUGUUAUAUAAGUCAGAUGUGAAAGACCCGGGCUCAACCUUGGAAUUGCGUCUGAUACUGUAUAACUUGGGUAGCUGAGAGGAAGUCGGAAUUCCUGGUGUAGGGGUGAAAUCUAUAGAUAUCAGGAAGAACACCAGUAGCGUAGGCGGACUUCUGGCAGCUUACCGACGCUGAGGUACGAAAGGUAGGGUAGCAAACCAGGAUUAGAGACCCUGGUAGUCCUACCUGUAAACGUUGUAUACUAGGUGGUGGAAGUUUAAUA
This 597-nucleotide ribosomal RNA is filed under the name uncultured organism. RNAcentral's name for it is "bacterial SSU rRNA". It matches the Rfam family "Bacterial small subunit ribosomal RNA", at positions 242 to 836 of the family's 1533-position model. The record is from RNAcentral.